CGUGUAGGUGGCUAAUUAAGUCAGGUGUGAAAUCCUUCCGCUUAACGGGAGAAGUGCACUUGAAACUGCUUAGCUAGAGUACGGGAGAGGAAGGUGGAAUUCCUGGUGUAGAGGUGAAAUUCAUAGAUAUCGGGAAGAACACCGGUGGCGAAGGCGGCCUUCUGGCCCGAUACUGACGCUGAGACGCGAAAGCGUGGGGAGCAAACAGGAUUAGAUACCCUGGUAGUCCACGCCGUAAACGUUGGGCACUAGGUGUGGGAGGUUUUUAUUCCUCCUUUGCCGAAGCUAACGCAUUAAGUGCCCCGCCUGGGGAGUACGGUCGCAAGGCUAAA
RNAcentral lists this ribosomal RNA (332 nucleotides) under uncultured bacterium. RNAcentral describes it as "bacterial SSU rRNA". It matches the Rfam family "Bacterial small subunit ribosomal RNA", at positions 568 to 898 of the family's 1533-position model. The record is from RNAcentral.